AGCAGCCGCGGUAAUUCCAGCUCCAAUAGCGUAUAUUAAAGUUGUUGCAGUUAAAAAGCUCGUAGUUGAAUUUCGGGAUCAAGUCGUCGGUCGUGCCUCGGUACGCACUGGUGACAUUGGUUUCUCCCUUCUGAAGAACCUUGAUGUCAUUAAUUUGGUGUCUUGGGGAAUCAGGACUGUUACUUUGAAAAAAUUAGAGUGUUUAAAGCAGGCUCACGCUUGAAUACAUUAGCAUGGAAUAAUGAAAUAGGACGUUUGAUUCUAUUUUGUUGGUUUCUAGGAUCGACGUAAUGAUUAAUAGGGAUAGUUGGGGGCAUUAGUAUUCAAUUGUCAGAGGUGAAAUUCUUGGAUUUAUUGAAGACUAACUACUGCGAAAGCAUUUGCCAAGGAUGUUUUCAUUAAUCAAGAACGAAAGUUAGGGGAUCGAAGACGAUCAGAUACCGUCGUAGUCUUAACCAUAAACUAUGCCGACUAGGGAUCGGAUGAUGUUAAUUUUUAUGUACUCAUUCGCGCCUUAAC
RNAcentral lists this ribosomal RNA (519 nucleotides) under uncultured Glomus. RNAcentral's name for it is "SSU rRNA". It matches the Rfam family "Eukaryotic small subunit ribosomal RNA", at positions 569 to 1091 of the family's 1831-position model. Lineage: Eukaryota; Fungi; Glomeromycota; Glomeromycetes; Glomerales; Glomeraceae. The record is from RNAcentral.